Molecule: non-coding RNA, 32 nt
Filed under: Rattus norvegicus (Norway rat)
Lineage: Eukaryota; Metazoa; Chordata; Mammalia; Rodentia; Muridae
Source: RNAcentral
UAAGGUUCCACAAGGGACGUGAGUGCCCCCAG